GGUUCAGGAUGAACGCUGGCGGCGUGCUUAACACAUGCAAGUCGAACGGAGUUUUAACGGAAGUUUCGGAUGGAAGUUAAAAACUUAGUGGCGGACGGGUGAGUAACGCGUGGGUAACCUGCCUCAUACAGGGGGAUAACAGUUAGAAAUGACUGCUAACACCGCAUAAUAUAGCGAAACCGCAUGAUUUUGCUAUCAAAUAUUUAUAGGUAUGAGAUGGGCCCGCGUCUGAUUAGCUAGUUGGUGGGGUAAAAGCCUACCAAGGCGACGAUCAGUAGCCGGCUUGAGAGAGUGACCGGCCACAUUGGGACUGAGACACGGCCCAAACUCCUACGGGAGGCAGCAGUGGGGAAUAUUGGACAAUGGGGGAAACCCUGAUCCAGCGACGCCCGCGUGAGUGAAGAAGUAUUUCGGUAUGUAAAGCUCUAUCAGCAGGGAAGAUAAUGACAGUACCUGACUAAGAAGCCCCGGCUAACUACGUGCCAGCAGCUGC
This 493-nucleotide ribosomal RNA is filed under the name uncultured bacterium. RNAcentral's name for it is "bacterial SSU rRNA". It matches the Rfam family "Bacterial small subunit ribosomal RNA", at positions 21 to 518 of the family's 1533-position model. The record is from RNAcentral.